RNAcentral lists this long non-coding RNA (709 nucleotides) under Coturnix japonica (Japanese quail). RNAcentral's name for it is "lncRNA (ENSCJPG00005001565.1)". The record is from RNAcentral. Lineage: Eukaryota; Metazoa; Chordata; Aves; Galliformes; Phasianidae.
GAGACCAUAGAGACCCAUAAAGGUGAUCAGUGGGAGUGACCCCAUAGAGAUACAAGUGGAGACCCAUAGGAAACGCCCCAUAGAAAUACAUGGAGACCCAUAGAGACCCAUAGAGAUACAUGGAGACCCAUAGAGACCCAUAGGAAACAAUGGAGACCGCAUAGAGGAUACAGUGGAAGACGCCAUAGAGACCAUAUGGGGUGUCUAUGGGGGGAUAUGGGGCUCUAUGGGGUCUCUAUGGGGUUCUAUGAGGAGAUAUGGGGGGAUAUGGGGGGAUAUAGGGGGAGAUGGGGUGUCUAUGGGGCUCUAUGGGGUGUCUAUGGGGAGAUAUGGGUGUCUAUGGGGCUCUAUGGGGUGUCUAUGGGGAGAUAUGGGGCUCUAUGGGGUGUCUAUGAGGCUUUAUUGGGCUCUAUGGGGCUCUAUGGGGUGUCUAUGGGGGAAUAUGGGGCAGAUAUGGGGCUCUAUGGGGCACUAUGGGGUGUCUAUACGGCUCUAUGGGGUGUCUAUGGGGCUGUAUUGGAUUCUAUGGGUCUCUAUGGGGCUGUAUUGGAUUCUAUGGGUCUCUAUGGGGCUGUAUUGGAUUCUAUGGGUCUCUAUGGGGCUGUAUUGGAUUCUAUGGGGUCUCUAUGUGUCUCUAUGGGUCCCUAUGGGUCUCUAUGGGUCUCUAUGGGUCUCUAUGGGUCCCUAUGGGUCUCUAUGGGUCUCUAUG